This 619-nucleotide ribosomal RNA is filed under the name Torulaspora delbrueckii. RNAcentral's name for it is "eukaryotic LSU rRNA". It matches the Rfam family "Eukaryotic large subunit ribosomal RNA", at positions 38 to 669 of the family's 3401-position model. Lineage: Eukaryota; Fungi; Ascomycota; Saccharomycetes; Saccharomycetales; Saccharomycetaceae. The record is from RNAcentral.
GCAUAUCAAUAAGCGGAGGAAAAGAAACCAACCGGGAUUGCCUUAGUAACGGCGAGUGAAGCGGCAAAAGCUCAAAUUUGAAAUCUGGUACCUUCGGUGCCCGAGUUGUAAUUUGUAGAAGGUAACUUUGGGGCUGGUCCUUGUCUAUGUUCCUUGGAACAGGACGUCAUAGAGGGUGAGAAUCCCGUGUGGCGAGGAUCCCAGUUCUUUGUAAAGUGCUUUCGAAGAGUCGAGUUGUUUGGGAAUGCAGCUCUAAGUGGGUGGUAAAUUCCAUCUAAAGCUAAAUAUUGGCGAGAGACCGAUAGCGAACAAGUACAGUGAUGGAAAGAUGAAAAGAACUUUGAAAAGAGAGUGAAAAAGUACGUGAAAUUGUUGAAAGGGAAGGGCAUUUGAUCAGACAUGGUGUUUUGCGCCCUCUGCUCCUUGUGGGUGGGGGAAUCUCGCAGCUCACUGGGCCAGCAUCAGUUUUGGCGGCAGGAUAAAUCUGCAGGAAUGUAGCUUGCCUCGGUAAGUGUUAUAUCCUGUAGAAAUACUGCCAGCUGGGACUGAGGACUGCGACUUUACGUCAAGGAUGCUGGCAUAAUGGUUAUAUGCCGCCCGUCUUGAACCACCGGACCAA